GUGAAGAGGUGAUGGGGUGGAUAGAAGACAGUGAAGAGGUGAUGGGGUGGAUAGAAGACAGUGAAGAGAGGUGAUGGGGUGGAUAGAAGACAGUGAAGAGGUGAUGGGGUGGAUAGAAGACAGUAGAGAGUUGAUGGGGUGGAUAGAAGACAGUAGAGAGGUGAUGGGGUGGAUAGAAGACAGUAGAGAGGUGAUGGGGUGGAUAGAAGACAGUAGAGAGGUGAUGGGGUGGAUAGAAGACAGUAGAGAGGUGAUGGGGUGGAUAGAAGACAGUAUAAAGAGGUGAUGGGGUGGAUAGAAGACAGUGUAGAGAGGUGAUGGGGUGGAUAGAAGACAGUGUAGAG
Oncorhynchus tshawytscha (Chinook salmon) is the source of this 344-nucleotide long non-coding RNA. The record is from Ensembl. Lineage: Eukaryota; Metazoa; Chordata; Actinopteri; Salmoniformes; Salmonidae.